GAUGAACGCUGGCGGCAUGCUUUACACAUGCAAGUCGGACGGGAAGUGGUGUUUCCAGUUGCGGACGGGUGAGUAACGCGUAAGAACCUGCCCUUGGGAGGGGAACAACAGCUGGAAACGGCUGCUAAUACCCCGUAGGCUGAGGAGCGAAAGGAGGAAUCCGCCCAAGGAGGGGCUCGCGUCUGAUUAGCUAGUUGGUGAGGUAAUAGCUUACCAAGGCCGUGAUCAGUAGCUGGUCCGAGAGGAUGAUCAGCCACACUGGGACUGAGACAAGGCCCAGACUCCUACGGGAGGCAGCAGUGGGGAAUUUUCCGCAAUGGGCGAAAGCCUGACGGAGCAAUGCCGCGUGGAGGUAAAAGGCCUACGGGUCAUGAACUUCUUUUCCUGGAGAAGAAACAAUGACGGUAUCUGGGGAAUAAGCAUCGGCUAACUCUGUG
This 437-nucleotide ribosomal RNA is filed under the name uncultured bacterium. Its description in RNAcentral is "partial 16S ribosomal RNA". It matches the Rfam family "Bacterial small subunit ribosomal RNA", at positions 28 to 507 of the family's 1533-position model. The record is from RNAcentral.